UGGGGAAUCUUCCGCAAUGGACGAAAGUCUGACGGAGCAACGCCGCGUGUAUGAUGAAGGUCUUCGGAUUGUAAAGUACUGUCUUUGGGGAAGAAUGACGGAUUUGAGAAUAUUGAGUUCGUAUGACGGUACCCAAGGAGGAAGCCCCGGCUAACUACGUGCCAGCAGCCGCGGUAAUACGUAGGGGGCAAGCGUUGUCCGGAAUUAUUGGGCGUAAAGGGCGCGUAGGCGGAUGCUUAAGUCCGGUGUGAAAGAUCAGGGCUCAACCCUGAGAGUGCAUCGGAAACUGGGUAUCUUGAGGACAGGAGAGGAAAGUGGAAUUCCACGUGUAGCGGUGAAAUGCGUAGAUAUGUGGAGGAACACCAGUGGCGAAGGCGACUUUCUGGACUGUAACUGACGCUGAGGCGCGAAAGCGUGGGGAGCAAACAGG
RNAcentral lists this ribosomal RNA (430 nucleotides) under uncultured Desulfosporosinus sp. Its description in RNAcentral is "bacterial SSU rRNA". It matches the Rfam family "Bacterial small subunit ribosomal RNA", at positions 355 to 776 of the family's 1533-position model. Lineage: Bacteria; Bacillati; Bacillota; Clostridia; Eubacteriales; Desulfitobacteriaceae. The record is from RNAcentral.